Molecule: ribosomal RNA, 568 nt
Filed under: uncultured bacterium
Lineage: Bacteria
Description: partial 16S ribosomal RNA
Rfam family: Bacterial small subunit ribosomal RNA
Source: RNAcentral
UGGGGAAUUUUGGACAAUGGGCGAAAGCCUGAUCCAGCAAUGCCGCGUGUGUGAAGAAGGCCUUCGGGUUGUAAAGCACUUUUGUCCGGAAAGAAAUCCUUGGCUCUAAUACAGUCGGGGGAUGACGGUACCGGAAGAAUAAGCACCGGCUAACUACGUGCCAGCAGCCGCGGUAAUACGUAGGGUGCAAGCGUUAAUCGGAAUUACUGGGCGUAAAGCGUGCGCAGGCGGUUUGCUAAGACCGAUGUGAAAUCCCCGGGCUCAACCUGGGAACUGCAUUGGUGACUGGCAGGCUAGAGUAUGGCAGAGGGGGGUAGAAUUCCACGUGUAGCAGUGAAAUGCGUAGAGAUGUGGAGGAAUACCGAUGGCGAAGGCAGCCCCCUGGGCCAAUACUGACGCUCAUGCACGAAAGCGUGGGGAGCAAACAGGAUUAGAUACCCUGGUAGUCCACGCCCUAAACGAUGUCAACUAGUCNUUGGGGAUUCAUUUUCCCUUAGUAACGUAGCUAACGCGUGAAGUUGACCGCCUGGGGAGUACGGUCGCAAGAUUAAAACUCAAAUGAAUUGAC